GACGAACGCUGGCGGCGUGCUUAACACAUGCAAGUCGAACGGUAAGGCCCUUCGGGGUACACGAGUGGCGAACGGGUGAGUAACACGUGGGUGAUCUGCCCUGCACUUCGGGAUAAGCCUGGGAAACUGGGUCUAAUACCGGAUAGGACCACUGCCUGCAUGGGUGGUGGUGGAAAGCUUUUGCGGUGUGGGAUGGGCCCGCGGCCUAUCAGCGUGUUGGUGGGGUGAUGGCCUACCAAGGCGACGACGGGUAGCCGGACUGAGAGGGUGACCGGCCACACUGGGACUGAGAUACGGACCAGAGUCCGACGGGAGGCAGCAGUGGGGAAUAUUGCACAAUGGGCGCAAGCCUGUUGCAGCGACGCCGCGUGAGGGAUGACGGCCUUCGGGUUGUAAACCUCUUUCAGCACCGACGAAGCGCAAGUGACGGUAGGUGCAGAAGAAGGACCGGCCAACUACGUGCCAGCCGCCGCGGUAA
This 478-nucleotide ribosomal RNA is filed under the name uncultured bacterium. Its description in RNAcentral is "partial 16S ribosomal RNA". It matches the Rfam family "Bacterial small subunit ribosomal RNA", at positions 28 to 523 of the family's 1533-position model. The record is from RNAcentral.